GACGAACGCUGGCGGCGUGCCUAAUACAUGCAAGUAGAACGCUGAAGGAGGAGCUUGCUUCUCUGGAUGAGUUGCGAACGGGUGAGUAACGCGUAGGUAACCUGCCUGGUAGCGGGGGAUAACUAUUGGAAACGAUAGCUAAUACCGCAUAAUAGUAGAUGUUGCAUGACAUUUGCUUAAAAGGUGCAAUUGCAUCACUACCAGAUGGACCUGCGUUGUAUUAGCUAGUUGGUGGGGUAACGGCUCACCAAGGCGACGAUACAUAGCCGACCUGAGAGGGGGAUCGGCCACACUGGGACCUAGACACGGCCCAGGCUCCUACGGGAGGCAGCAGGAGGGAAUCUUCGGCAAUGGACGGAAGUCUGACCGAGCAACGCCGCGUGAGUGAAGAAGGUUUUCGGAUCGUAAAGCUCUGUUGUAAGAGAAGAACGAGUGUGAGAGUGGAAAGUUCACACUGUGACGGUAUCUUACCAGAAAGGGACGGCUAACUACGUG
This 495-nucleotide ribosomal RNA is filed under the name uncultured bacterium. Its description in RNAcentral is "partial 16S ribosomal RNA". It matches the Rfam family "Bacterial small subunit ribosomal RNA", at positions 28 to 507 of the family's 1533-position model. The record is from RNAcentral.